Long non-coding RNA from Beta vulgaris subsp. vulgaris (sugar beet), 845 nucleotides. RefSeq lists it as uncharacterized. The transcript has 3 exons. The record is from RefSeq and is a predicted model, not a curated record. Lineage: Eukaryota; Viridiplantae; Streptophyta; Magnoliopsida; Caryophyllales; Amaranthaceae.
ACAAUACCAUACUAUGUAUCUACUGAAGUAUGUAACGUGCUUUUAGAAGUUAGAAGAUUUUUUUUCUCAAUCCCCCAAAACCUCAAACCAGUAACCUAUCACUCCUCCCUCCUCCCAUGGCUUCCAACCCUAUCGCAUUUCAACCACCUCUAUUGAAAUCACUGUUGAAUUCUACCUACCCUUAAUUUAUGGAUCCAUUACGACAAUUUCAAGUGUUGCCCCUCCACCAUCCUCACCGCACAAUGAUGCCGUCAACUCCCCUUCUACUUUUUGUGCAGAGAAACUGAAUUCAGGUUCUUCUUGUUCCUUUUUUUAAGGUAAAAUUAUGCUCAGAAUAUUCCAUCCCGUUGUUCGAACUGCAAUUUCCUUGUGAUAAUUGUACCCUAGAUUUAUUAUGAAAUUGUUUGAUCUUUUUUGUGGAUUUGAGCAUCACCUCAACAAUUUCUCAUCCCCUCUUCCUUAUUUCUUCGCAAUUUUUUGGCAACUCCCGUGGAGAAGGCCCGACCUAAAUCGCCGACUAUACCUCAAACUCGGAUCGAUCAUGAAGGGAAACUUUGAUCAAAUUGGGUAGCUACUGAAAAUGUUACCAACGUACUUUUUUGGGAUUCCUAGCAUUUAUUCGCAAGAGGUGAUUGACGAGCUAAACCAAACAGAAGACGAUGGAGAUUGAAGAUGACGGUCAAGUUUGAAUUGUACAUUUUAUUUAAUUAUUUUAGAAUUUUAGUUUUAGUCGAUAGCAUUAGAUUAUACAAACUUUAUUUUUAAGACAUUGGAAGAAAUAGAUGUUUUGAGUGAAAUUGGUUUUGACAUGAUGAAUAAAGCAAAAAGUAAUUUCUAUUUAAUAA